RNAcentral lists this unclassified non-coding RNA (229 nucleotides) under Hevea brasiliensis (rubber tree). Lineage: Eukaryota; Viridiplantae; Streptophyta; Magnoliopsida; Malpighiales; Euphorbiaceae. The record is from RNAcentral.
UCUGGAUCAGCAAGCUUAACCGAUAAUUCUUUCCAAGUUUUCUCAGCUGAAUCAAGUUUUUUAAUUAGAUAAGGUUCCGCCAUGCAGAUGAUUCUUCUAGAAGAACUACGGUUCGGCGGAGCUCGAAUAAAAGCUAAUCCUCCACCGGGAAGUCCAGAGCAACGACGUCGUACUGGAAACUGAAUGGAACAAGCGGUGGAGAUUCCGGCAGUGGUGAAGCCGGAGUUAG